UGGGGGAAUAUUGGACAAUGGGGGGCAACCCUGAUCCAGCAAUGCCGCGUGUGUGAAGAAGGUCUUCGGAUUGUAAAGCACUUUCGACGGGGACGAUGAUGACGGUACCCGUAGAAGAAGCCCCGGCUAACUUCGUGCCAGCAGCCGCGGUAAUACGAAGGGGGCUAGCGUUGCUCGGAAUGACUGGGCGUAAAGGGCGUGUAGGCGGUUUACACAGUCAGAUGUGAAAUCCCCGGGCUUAACCUGGGAGCUGCAUUUGAUACGUGUAGACU
Molecule: ribosomal RNA, 272 nt
Filed under: uncultured bacterium
Lineage: Bacteria
Description: partial 16S ribosomal RNA
Rfam family: Bacterial small subunit ribosomal RNA
Source: RNAcentral